This 62-nucleotide small RNA is filed under the name Arabidopsis thaliana (thale cress). RNAcentral's name for it is "ATSL190240". The record is from RNAcentral. Lineage: Eukaryota; Viridiplantae; Streptophyta; Magnoliopsida; Brassicales; Brassicaceae.
AAACCGGGCUAUACGGAGGCAUAUCACUGUACUGUGUAGCGAGUUUCUCUUCACGAUGGUGA